CUAUGUGAAGAGAAGAGAUGGUAGUAGAUAGAGAUGAUAAGGAAGAGAGGGGUAUUAUAAUGUAAUAAAGUCGGUUGUUGCUGUGUGUUUUAAGGACAGAGAAAGAGAGGGGACACUAAUAAAACACGCUCAAUACUUGUGUUUUGUUUUUUUAUCUCUGUUUCAGGGUUUUCUUAUUUAUUUAUGUCUGUAAAACUUAAGAGAGAGAGGGCGGUGGCACAGAGUAGAGAGGGGAAAGAAGCAGAAGAAGAAGCUUAAAGGCAGCUUCUUUCACUUUGGCAAGUACAGCCUCGCUUCUUCUGGUAUUCCAUCUUCAGGAAUACGUUUGAUUAACUCACAAAAAUUCGAAUAUCUUAAGGUUCCUUAACUACAUUACUUAGCUGUAUUCGUUUUUUUUUCCCUGAUUAAGUUUGCUUUUCGUAUAUCUAAUGUGUGGUUUUGAUGUAAACCGACUUUAUUAAGAGUCAAUAAUCUAGGUGUCAUGUUGUUAUCAUGCAGUUGUUUUAUCUAAGUACUAUUCUAAAAAUCAGCUAUUAAUUCACAUUUUCCCAAUAUGCUUCGUUUCUAUUAAUAUUAAUAUUUUUUCAUAAAUCAGGCAUACGUGUUACGAGUUUUAGACCUUAAAAUGUUUGUUAAUGGUCAUAGCAUUAUCGUUGGCUAGAAAUUUAAUGUGACUGCAAUAAUUUAGAUAUGACACUGAUAAACAUGAAAUUUUCAGGAUCGUAAUAAUGGUUUGUGAUCAAUGAUUUUAAUGAUCGUUGACGAGAGGGAUUAGGAUCCAAUCGCAAGCAAGAAUAGCGUGUUUGUCAACAAAAUGGACUUGUUUUACAACAUCACACACGCAAACAAUGCAACCAUUGAAUUCAAACAUUAUUUUAUGACUCCUAUAUUGGUAAGUUAUGCGAUCUAGAUCUUACGUUCUAUACUAAAAUACCUCAUACAGAAAUGUUUCUCAUAAACCUUUAGAUUGUCAAACAAAAAACUUUGUUGAGACAACCAUUUAAAAAUCACAUACUCAGUAUAAUUCAGUAGUACCAAAAGAUUGAAAACUUAAUUAUAAAAUGAGAGAAAACAAACAAUAAAUGUAUUCGACUCUAAUUUCAACUUACAACUCUAACACUGUGAAUUUAUUUUUGGUUUCUAAAAGAUUUAUAUUAGAAAAUUUUCAACUUAAAAAUAGAAAUAAGAUUAAGAAAUUAAGGGAAAAUAUAAGUUAUUGAACAGCUGUCUCAAAAUACUCUGGAAUUUCAUUCAUAAAUAUUUUGAUACUAUAAAAUACUUUUGAAAUAGAUUUAAAUAUUUAAGACAACCAUUCAAUACAGUAAUGUUGAAUCUUCGUAAAGAUAUUCAAGUUGAUAAUCCAUGGUACUCUUCCACAAAAAGAAAGUAGAAAAUGAAAACUAAACACUUGAUUUGAGUGACACCUUUGGUUGUUGUGGAUGCUCAUAAGUUUAUAGAAUUAUAGAAAUAUACAUACAAUAUAUUUGUUAUUCGAUCCAAAAAAAUAUAAUAAGAAGGAGAAGGGAGAAGGGACAAUAAUGUUGAUGAGUUUUAAUGGGUCAUGAAGACAGGUAUGUCGCUUCCACUCUUUUUUGUUGCUGUGGAUAGAGUUCUCUAGGGCCAGCUUUCAACCACCAAUUAGUUCGGAAUUAAUAAAAUUGAUCUAUUUUAUCGUCUAGUUGAAAUAUAUUGACUUUCUGAGUUAGAAAAAAAAUACUUCACUUAAUUGCUAAUGCAUGUUACGCAUGUGCACCACUUCAGUGAGAGUAUCAUAAUGUAUAGUAAGCGAAUUUUUUUCAAACAUAUCUCUAUAACAGACGUGUACAUAAACAUGAAGGGAAAACACUAUUACUAGUUUUGCGUCUGUUAUUCUAAAUCACAUCGUGCAGCUUUACAUUUCGCAUAACUCUGACUAUUUUUAAUUAAAUUUAUCGCUAUGCUAGCUUACUAAGCAUAGACAUUAGACAAUAGCUUUGGUAACACGUGUAGGUCCGUGAUAAGUAAUCUUAAAAGGGAAAAACUGAAAAGGAUUAAAAGUCACCAGAUUUAAGUAAAUGAAAGUUUAAAAUGAUUCAUGGUUCGACCUUAACUAACGUUUAGAUGUGACAAUACUCUGCUAUGGACCUAGCGGUUAGACACACUAAAGCUUAUAUAGAUCGAACCGUGCGCGUCGUUGCUCGGUCCAUGGCAACCUAGAAGUCAAUGAUUUUUCUCCGACCUAAGAAGUCAAACUAAAAGUCUAAAACACAGAAAAGCUGUAAGAAAAAUCGAAGAUGAGAUAGAAUUGUUUAAAGAGGGGGGGGUUUUGAGCAAUCAUUUUCAGUGGUACAUUAGACCCUUCUUUUUUUAGAUAAAACUAUUAUUAAAUUUCUUUGUUUUUUUUUUUGGCGACUUAUUAAAUUUCUUUGUUAUUUUAUCGUCUUCUAUAUACUACCAAAAAUAAAACCAACCUCGUGAAGAACAUUGCUGUCAGCUUAAUUUAUCUUUGUCAGUUUGCCUAUUUUUUUACACGCUUUUGAUCAAUAGUUUUUACUCUGGUGAUUAAAUUCGGUGCUCUCAAAAGAAAAAUUUAGAAUUCGUUAAGCAGAUUGUAGAGGUAAUUUAACUUUGCAUGUAAGACUCUCCGUUUAAAAAGAGAAACAAACUCCAGCAUGUAGUAUGCAUGAAAACUCCAGCAUGUAGUAUGCAUAAACAAAAAAAAUAUUAACAGGAAACGAAGACAAAAAUGAUACAGAAUAAUGCCAUCGUCAUGUUAUAAGAAAAGAUAUGAUCAUAGCACUGUUCGUACAAGAUUUCUACAGUUGAAUUUCUUUAUGUAAGGAGAAACUAGGCUUUACUUUACCUUUAUAUUUUGCAUAAAAUUAUCAUUAAAAUAUUUUUUUAUUUGCUUUUAGUGUCCCUUUUAGUAGUACCACUACUAUACACAUUUGACUAAUCAAUAAAAUCGGAAAUUGUUUGGACUCAUUAUAAGAUGUGGGGUAUUUUUGAAGCACAUGCCAUUAUGCCAAUGAGUAUCCAAAUCAAACUGUUGUUGUUUUUUGGCUUUUUGGACGCUGGACCUAAUCCAAGUUCUCAUCUCUACUAAAUUCAAAUCCAUUGUAGUAAAUAUUUAUUCUCUUGAUUUACUUUUGAAUAAAUUGCUAUAACUUGAAACUAUAUGUGUCAUCAUGGCCUGUGUAUAUAUCCAUUGGUCAUAAGUUUAGCUUCUACCAAAAGUGAGAGUAUCCCACCCAGUGUGUGUGUGACAAAAGCCAAACAAAAACACACUCACAGCUUAUCUUGAUUGGUAACUAACAUAGAUACAUCAACGAAAACAUAUUCGUUCCGUUUAAAAAGAUCUUUAUUCAAACCUUUCACGAAUCACGACUUUAUAGGAAAAACAUUAACAGUUGAAAACAACGUUAAACAAAAUUCCCAAGCAUGUCACGUUAGGAGGCAAAAUUCAACUGAACAUGUGUGCAGAGUAACUGGCCUAAGAAAUGACCAUUUAAAUUACUGAAGAGUUUUCUUACUGCAAACUCCAAAGUACCUGAAUUUGAAAGGAAAAGAAAAAAAAUGUUUUCAGAAUAACUUUGCACUAUUUGGCAGCAAUUUGAUUUCAUUGCCAUCAGCUUUUAUCUUAUCUUGUACGAGCCAUGCUUACAUAUCAACUGUCUGCAGGUUUUAAAUCUUCUGACUACUAAUCGAAGUAGAAUAUCAAUUUUAUUUUUGUAUAGUUUUGGUUUUUUAAUGUUCUGCCGUUCUACAAUAUUACCAGCUAGAGCUGUAACUCUGAUGACAACUGACAUCCAAAACAAUUACGUAACUUUACGUAUUUUUUUUUAAUGAAUGUUAAAUUUAUUCACCAAAAACCUUUUUGUGACUUUGAGUUUGAAAAAUUAAGAAAAAUGAAAACAAAUUCUAUCACUCUAAGAAAUUCAUCUUGUACCAAACCAAAUGGUAUUCUAAGAUAUAGUUUUGAAUAUGCUCGUGUUUGAAUUGGAGUAGCUCAUAUUAGCCGACCCUAACCAGACACAAAACAAUCUAAUAAAAAUUGAUAUGAACAUUAUAUGAAAACAUUCCCACGAAAAUAGGGAAUUGUAUACUGACCAACAAAAAGACCAAACAUAAGAACUAAAAGUAUCACGUGUUAGGUUUGAUUUUGAAGGUCAAGUGACGAAUGCGAAGAUACGUGUGUGAGAAUGCAGACGAAGUUUGUUAGUAGUCGAAGUCUCGGAACAAGUUAUAAAAAGCAAGUUUGUCAACACCUUUGACUUCAUUUUUUCAAAACUCUCUCUCAGAAGUAAGUUGCAAAAUGAAACUACGUGAAACACAUGUAACCUCUUAAAACAUUUUCGUCUCACGUUUGGAAAUUAUAUGUUCUUGCAGAUAAAAUAAAGAUCAUAAUAAAUGUGUAAAAGUUUUUGUAAAUUGAUUACUCCACAGUACAAUAGUCAAUAGAUUAAUGGAGAUCAACAUCACCUAAGAAUUACCGGUCAUGUGUGUAUUGAAAAGGACUAAAGAUAUUAUAUUUUGAUGAAACCAUCUAUAAAUUGACAUCAUCAGUUUGUAACAGAUCAACAAUUAACAUCUAUGGUACACGAAAAGAAAGAGUGAGAGAGAUAGUCAAUAGACGAAGAUGUAUUGUAAGGAUGUCCACAGCUGGAGUCUUUGGACUUCAUAUCCAGAAUUGGGUCACAAACUUAUGUACAUGAAUCAUGACAUCUAUCAAUGUGUCUAUAUAUUAUUUAAAGAAAGCUUUGUAGUGUUUGGUUAGGUACAAUUGCAAUCAACUUUAUAUGCAUGUACAUAUAUGUGCAAUAGACAUAUAUACCCUUGUUUGCAAGGACACCUACCCUUACAUACACAUAAAUGACAAAUCACUAAAAUAUAUACAGCAUAUGAUCCAUUAUUGUUGAUGAUAAGAUUGUGAUGUUAGUGGUUCUUGUUGGUUUUAUUUCUUUUCUUUUUUCAUCUUGCGUUUGUCUUGAUAGUUUCUAUUUCACGUAGUAAAUUCACAUGAGCGUAACUGCAAUAUAAAAUAACAAUUUUAUAAAAAGAAAAGGUAUUGUGCAAAUUAUAUAUAUUAUCAACCUAAAAGAGUUAAAACCAUAAAAAUGGUUGGCAACGAGCAAUAGCAUGAAAGUUAGGUGAUACCAAAAGUUAGUACGUAUGUCACUUCAAUUAAAAUGUCAUAAAAUUUAUUCUUCUUAAUCAAGUUCACAGAGUUUUAAAUAAUUCUGUGGACGUUAGAACAAACUGGUUAAACACACGAAUCAAAGCCCCGUGUUUCAUCGAGCUUUGAGUAAAAAUCUCGAUUUUUUAUGGGUCAAUUCCAUAAGAAAAAGAGAGAAUUGGGGCAUGCUCGGUAGUAGUGAAAAGAGAGCAAAUCCCAAGGAUCAAGAAAAGAAAAAGAAAAGUUAAGAGGAAAAUGCUUUAUUGGGUUUGCUUAAGAAGACAUGAAGCAGAUUGAAAACAUCUGCUUUCGUCCCAAAAAGAGGAAAGCCAAAUUCCAAAAACUGCAUCUACAUUGUUUACAUACCACACACAUUCAUGUAUCCACUGUUAUGUAGAAAUUAUAACUUGUAAAUAGUUUCAUGUUUUUAAUAUAACUUUCG
Brassica rapa (field mustard) is the source of this 5597-nucleotide long non-coding RNA. RefSeq lists it as uncharacterized. The record is from RefSeq and is a predicted model, not a curated record. NCBI's taxonomy places the organism in Eukaryota, Viridiplantae, Streptophyta, Magnoliopsida, Brassicales, Brassicaceae.